AGCCGAAACCCCCUCGGGGGUUGGCGCGGGAUGGCAGCCCACGCCCUGAUGAUGGCAGGCCACA
RNAcentral lists this non-coding RNA (64 nucleotides) under Streptomyces sp. RK76. The record is from RNAcentral. Lineage: Bacteria; Bacillati; Actinomycetota; Actinomycetes; Kitasatosporales; Streptomycetaceae.